AGAUCAAGAACGUUAACCAUUUCACCCUUUCCCGAAUCAAUGCCGGUAAUUGAACACUGGAUUAAAAUUUCGCAGAUUCAGAUAUUCGUUUUUAUUUUCUUUGCAUGCAGGAUAAGCGAUACAUUAUCUUAGACCUAAAGGCUGCAAGCAGCUUCCCCAAGACGAAUGUGUUAUGGAUGCGCAAUACCUGGUUGACAUUUUGCUGCUGAACAAAUCAUUUGUGAGUUGAGAUCGAAGAUGAUGUUCCUACUGCGUUAUGCUUUUCCAUUUUCUAAGGGAUACGUUUGCCACAGUCAAACCAAAAACGAUGAAAGGGAUCUGCGUUUGCUGAAGAAACGAUUAGGCACGUGCGGCUCUGCGAAAGAAGCAAAGGCCGAUCCUUUCUUCAGCAGCUUGUUGCUUGACCAUGACAAAAACGAUAAAGAAAACCAAAGAUUAACUUAUCGACAGUAUCACCCUAGCUCACGCUCUUGUAAAUAACCUGUGUUUUGAUACUCCCACUGGACAAAAACAUGUUGUCAUGGUGUACAUAUAUAUUGGAUUUGUAUUUAGAAGACGGUGUUUAAUGGUUUUCACAACUGUGAAUAUUUGGUUUA
Long non-coding RNA from Papaver somniferum (opium poppy), 596 nucleotides. RefSeq lists it as uncharacterized. The transcript is spliced from 2 exons. The record is from RefSeq and is a predicted model, not a curated record. NCBI's taxonomy places the organism in Eukaryota, Viridiplantae, Streptophyta, Magnoliopsida, Ranunculales, Papaveraceae.